ACGGUAUAUGUCUUUCGGGACAUAGAGAGUGGCGAACGGGUGCGUAACGCGUAUGCAACCUACCUUGUACAGGGGAAUAGCCCGGAGAAAUUCGGAUUAAUGCCCCAUGGUAUCACCAGAUGGCAUCUGAAGGUGAUUAAAGAUUUAUCGGUACAAGAUGGUCAUGCGUGACAUUAGUUAGUUGGCGGGGUAACGGCCCACCAAGACUAUGAUGUCUAGGGGUUCUGAGAGGAUGAUCCCCCACACUGGUACUGAGAUACGGACCAGACUCCUACGGGAGGCAGCAGUAGGGAAUAUUGGUCAAUGGGCGAGAGCCUGAACCAGCCAUGCCGCGUGCAGGAUGACGGCCUUCUGGGUUGUAAACUGCUUUUAUACGGGAAGAAAAAACCUUUGCGAAGGGAAUUGCCGGUACCGUAUGAAUAAGCACCGGCUAACUCCGUGCCAGCAGCCGCGGUAAUACGGAGGGUGCAAGCGUUGUCCGGAGUUAUUGGGUUUAAAGGGUGCGUAGGCGGGUCUUUAAGUCAGUGGUGAAAGCCUGCAGCUUAACUGUAGAACUGCCAUCGAUACUGGAGACCUUGAGUGUACUAGAGGUAGGCGGAAUUUAUGGUGUAGCGGUGAAAUGCAUAGAUACCAUAAAGAACACCGAUAGCGUAUGCAGCCUACUGGAGUACAACUGACGCUGAGGCACGAAAGCA
This 695-nucleotide ribosomal RNA is filed under the name uncultured bacterium. Its description in RNAcentral is "bacterial SSU rRNA". It matches the Rfam family "Bacterial small subunit ribosomal RNA", at positions 66 to 761 of the family's 1533-position model. The record is from RNAcentral.